GCAAGUCGAACGAACCCUUCGGGGUUAGUGGCGCACGGGUGCGUAACGCGUGGGAAUCUGCCCUUUGCUUCGGAAUAACAGUUAGAAAUGACUGCUUAAUACCGGAUGAUGUCUUCGGACCAAAGAUUUAUCGGCAAGGGAUGAGCCCGCGUAGGAUUAGGUAGUUGGUGGGGUAAAGGCCUACCAAGCCGACGAUCCUUAGCUGGUCUGAGAGGAUGAUCAGCCACACUGGGACUGAGACACGGCCCAGACUCCUACGGGAGGCAGCAGUGGGGAAUAUUGGACAAUGGGCGCAAGCCUGAUCCAGCAAUGCCGCGUGAGUGAUGAAGGCCUUCGGGUCGUAAAGCUCUUUUACCAGGGAUGAUAAUGACAGUACCGGAGAUAAGUCCGGCUAA
RNAcentral lists this ribosomal RNA (395 nucleotides) under uncultured bacterium. RNAcentral describes it as "bacterial SSU rRNA". It matches the Rfam family "Bacterial small subunit ribosomal RNA", at positions 57 to 500 of the family's 1533-position model. The record is from RNAcentral.